Molecule: ribosomal RNA, 594 nt
Filed under: uncultured bacterium
Lineage: Bacteria
Description: bacterial SSU rRNA
Rfam family: Bacterial small subunit ribosomal RNA
Source: RNAcentral
GUCGAACGAUGAUAGAGAGCUUGCUCUUUUGAUUAGCGGCGCACGGGUGAGUAAUAUAUAGAUAAUGUACCUCUUAGUCUGGGAUAGCCACUGGAAACGGUGAUUAAUACUAGAUACUCCUUCUAGCUUUAAGGUUAGUCGGGAAAGUUUUUUCGCUAAGAGAUCGGUCUAUAUCCUAUCAGCUAGUUGGUGAGGUAAUGGCUCACCAAGGCAAUGACAGGUAGCGGGUUUGAGAGGAUGAUCCGCCACACUGGUACUGAGACACGGACCAGACUCCUACGGGAGGCAGCAGUGAGGAAUAUUGCACAAUGGGCGAAAGCCUGAUGCAGCAACGCCGCGUGGAGGAUGACGCAUUUCGGUGUGUAAACUCCUUUUAUGAGUCAAGAAAAUGACGGUAGCUCAUGAAUAAGCACCGGCUAACUCCGUGCCAGCAGCCGCGGUAAUACGGAGGGUGCAAGCGUUACUCGGAAUCACUGGGCGUAAAGGACGCGUAGGCUGUCUAGCAAGUCAGAUGUGAAAUCCAAUGGCUCAACCAUUGAACUGCAUUUGAAACUGCUAGACUAGAGUAUGGGAGGGGGAGAUGGAAUUAGUGGU